This 99-nucleotide small nucleolar RNA is filed under the name Cephalotus follicularis. Lineage: Eukaryota; Viridiplantae; Streptophyta; Magnoliopsida; Oxalidales; Cephalotaceae. The record is from RNAcentral.
AUUAGAGGUGAUGAUGAUAAUUGUUGUGAUCCCAGCUCACUAUGAGACCUUGUCAAGGUCCGGGAAUUGACACUAUCUACACACUUAUCUGAGCUUUAU